CCUACGGGAGGCAGCAGUGGGGAAUAUUGGGCAAUGGGCGCAAGCCUGACCCAGCAACGCCGCGUGAAGGAAGAAGGCUUUCGGGUUGUAAACCUCUUUUAAGAGGGACGAGCAGAAGGCGGUACCUCUUGAAUAGGCCACGGCUAACUACGUGCCAGCAGCCGCGGUAAUACGUAGGGGGCAAGCGUUGUCCGGAUUUACUGGGUGUAAAGGGCGUGUAGCCGGGCUGAAAAGUCAGAUGUGAAAUCCCGGGGCUCAACCACGGAAAUGCAUUUGAAACUGUCGUUCUUGAGUAUCGGAGAGGCAGGCGGAAUGCCUAGUGUAGCGGUGAAAUGCGUAGAUAUUAGGAGGAACACCAGUGGCGAAGGCGGCCUGCUGGACGACAACUGACGGUGAGGCGCGAAAGCGUGGGGAGCAAACAGGAUUAGAUACCCCUGUAGUC
Molecule: ribosomal RNA, 442 nt
Filed under: uncultured bacterium
Lineage: Bacteria
Description: partial 16S ribosomal RNA
Rfam family: Bacterial small subunit ribosomal RNA
Source: RNAcentral